AGCGAGGUGGGGCAGUCAGGAGUGCCCGUAAGGCUCAUAACCUUAAGGUCGGAGGUUCAAAUCCUUCUCCCGCUA
Molecule: transfer RNA, 75 nt
Filed under: Candidatus Woesearchaeota archaeon
Lineage: Archaea; Nanobdellati; Candidatus Woesearchaeota
Description: tRNA-Met
Rfam family: tRNA
About the family: Transfer RNA (tRNA) molecules are approximately 80 nucleotides in length. Their secondary structure includes four short double-helical elements and three loops (D, anti-codon, and T loops).
Source: RNAcentral